UCCCCAGAGCCAGGGACUCCUGGAAACUGCUGGCCCUCCACCUGGAGUCUCUCUCAUCUCAGUCCUGUCACCAUCAGCUGCAUGAUCAUGAUCUCACACGGUACAGUGUCCCACCCACAGCUCCUCCAGCUCCCCUCACGCCUCACUAUAUCUCAGGACAGAGGGGGCGCACGUUUCGUGGACUGUUACCAAAAAGAAAAGUCAGUAUUAUGUUGUUCUCAGACACCUUUACUCUUUGUCCUCCAAGACUGCUCCAGGGCCUCUUUGUGAAAUCCCACUAGGAGAAGAACAGUGACAGUAAUGGCUCACAGGAAUCAUUGAUAUCAUGGACACAGAUAUUCUCUCUCUAGAGAGAAGACCGAGCUGGAGUUGGACACUGUUAAUAAAGCCAGAAACACUCCCAAGUGGAUCUGGGGUCUGGAGUCACAGAGGUCCUUGUAAGUGUGGAGCACUGAUCACCCACGGGGGGAGAAGAUCCCCCGCCCCGUUUGCACGCUUUUCUUGCCUCAGUGCGUAAGCUCCUUGUACAACUACACCCAUCUUGUAUUCUGUGGCCCAGAAAAAAAUGGAAGUUAUUUUAUUUUUUUUCCCUCCAUAAUCCAAAGGGCAGAGUUGUGGAAAGUGGUCAGGGUCAGGUGGGCAGGGGCCGGAAUAAAACACUGGGCUCCUUUACUCAGC
RNAcentral lists this long non-coding RNA (678 nucleotides) under Rattus norvegicus (Norway rat). RNAcentral's name for it is "long non-coding RNA NONRATT028765". The record is from RNAcentral. Lineage: Eukaryota; Metazoa; Chordata; Mammalia; Rodentia; Muridae.